RNAcentral lists this non-coding RNA (823 nucleotides) under Pongo abelii (Sumatran orangutan). The record is from RNAcentral. Lineage: Eukaryota; Metazoa; Chordata; Mammalia; Primates; Hominidae.
AGUGCGACCCGGAACAAGGCGGACACGGCAGGAGCACCUCAUUCUUCCCCCUAGUCUUCUCCUAGCCUGCCCGUGGGAUCAGCUCCCACAUUGCUGAAUGGAGUCGCUCAUUUCGGCAGCGAAUGCUGAGGUGACAAAUGGCUUCUGUACAUUUGCGAAAAGGAGGGGAGGCAGGAAUUGUUUGACCUCCAGCAGAUACCUUGGGCGAGGAGGACAAGUGCCCUACCCAAGAGAUGACAGAUUGUGGAACUAAAAGGAUCCUGGGUCUCUAAUGAUUUUUUGGAGUUAUUGUGCCUGCCUUGGACUUCCAACUGCCAAACUUUUAUGAAGCACUUCUCCUUCCUGCUACCAUGUGAAGAAGGAUGUGUUUGCUUCCCCUUCUGCUAUGAUUGUAAGCCUCCUGAGGCCUCCCCAGCCCUGCAGAACUAAAUCCAAAGAAGCCACUAUGCUGAAAAUACUUUGAGUGGGUUAGAGUUUCGCUCAAGGAAGUGCUGUAGUAGAAAAUGGCCAUUUCUCUGUGCUGUGUUCAGAGUAAGAGAUAUGGGUGAAAGAGUUAUCCGGAAUGGAAUGCUGAGGAGACCCUAAAGGGAAUUUCAGGGUGGGUGACCAGCACUGUCACUCGAUGAGUGGAGGAUUGGAGGUUGCUGUGAGGUUCCUUUAAGGGGUGAUGUUUGAUCUGAGAGCUGGUAAAUGAACAGGAGUUAAUUUAAAGACAAACUUGCCAAAUACUGCAAGAAAAGAUGUUGCUGAUCACGGAUAGGAAAUACUCCAAGUCCCAGGAGAUAGUCUGUUCUUAGGAGACUUCCACACCAAGUCCGCUGAC